This 2848-nucleotide long non-coding RNA is filed under the name Sus scrofa (pig). RNAcentral describes it as "lncRNA (ENSSSCG00035033597.1)". The record is from RNAcentral. Lineage: Eukaryota; Metazoa; Chordata; Mammalia; Artiodactyla; Suidae.
UCCCAGGCUAGGGGUCAAUCAGAGCUGUAGCCGCCAGCCACAGCCACGUGGGAUCUGAGAUGCGUAUGCGACUCACACCACAGCUCGUGGCAAUGCCGGAUCGUUAACCCACCGAGCAAGGCCAGGGAUCAAACCCGCAACCUCAUGGUUCCCAGUCAGAUUCAUUAACCACUGUGCCAUGAUGGGAACUCCUGGCCUCNACAAGCUGCAGGAGCCUGGCUGCUGGGGCUCUCACUGGGGCUUAAGGAGCAGAAAGGCCACAAUGACUUGCUCUCCGCCUCAGUCGUUUAGCUCUGUUCCCCCAGGUUCAGGGCAAAAGGCCCACCCAGAAAUAGAGACGGAGGCUCUACCCAGGAACUAUAACAGUGGACUCAAGUAUGAAAAGACAGAGAACUACAGCUCCAAUACUGACAAGAUCUGUCCAUGACUCCAAGAGUUAGAAAUGAUUUAAAAACAGGCAUGCUUCAGAACAAAACAUGAGAAAAGAUGAACAGAUGUCAAUGAAAUGUCACUUUCUUCUACUGUGUUGCUAAAAAAAAAAAAAGAAAAGAAAAGAAAAGCUUCAAUGUCCUUAAAGCAUACAUCUCAGUGGAUUAACUGGACACUGGAAGUGCCACAAUGGAAUGAGAACAGUAAGAGUUAAAAACUGACUCUGAAUAGGCCCUUUUAUGAAGUCACAAAAUUAAUAAUGUACAUCUUUUUCCCCAUCUAUACUGAAAAGGAAGAUCAAAUAAGCAGAAACAAAAGGUAGGAAGUUAGGAAUCACAAGUGUUCAGAUAUUGUAACCCAAACAAUUGUUCUAGUAUUGCCUAUUUUACCGAGGGUUAUGAUAAGUGGCUGGAAAAAAUAAGGACUCCAAAUCUUAGUUCCUUUAAGAUUAAAACACAUAGCAUUUAAAACACAGAGAAGUACCAUUUUAGGCACUUGUUAGGGAAAUAGCACACAAAAGGAUGUCUUGAUUUUGUUAGAUGCUUCCUUUAAGUAAUAGGUUUUACAGUAGGAGCAAGUAGGCAGGGGCCUGGGAGAUGGUGAUGAGGCACCCCUUGUGUAACUGCCAUAUUGUUACCUUUCGUAAAGAAUUCCAGCUCAGAAAGUAGACAGAUUUGAGCACAAAUCCUAAUUCUAUCAAUCAUUCGUUGAGUAACUAUGCAACUCAAUUAACCUUACUUCAAUUUUCCCAUCAGUAAUAUAGAGAUAAAUAUAACCUCUACCUUAUAGGGAUGUUUUGGGGAUCAAGAGAUAAUAAGAUGCUUAGCACAGUACCUGGCAUAUAGAUGUGCAGGAAAUGUUAGCCCUUAUCAUUAUCAUCUUUCUUUUCAAUCAUUCAUCUGUCCACAAAACUAUUACUGAUGAGGGAAUAUUUCAGGUCAAGCUUUGGGUUAGGUAAAGGAAGUCCAGGAAGAACAAGACAUAGUCCCUGAACACAGGAAGUUCUCAGCCCAGCAUGGGGAGAUGAACAAAAGAAGGCAAUACAGCCUAAGGAAUAUUAUGAUUGAAGUCAGCAUCAGGCAACUGAAGCAUAAAGAUGAGGAUGAGGAAGGAGCUUCAUGGAGGAGUUGAUGCUUAAUGCAGUGUUUAAAGCAGGUGUACAUAUAACGCCUUGGGGACAAAAGUAACAGAAGAGUAAUGACACUGGUAGGGAAGGGCAAGAAGAAUGGUGUGAAGAGGUCCCGGGGAAUGAAAAAUCAGGCUGAGAGGUAAGGUCAGAGAGGGCCAGGAGGCUCAUCACCAUCACAUAGAGCUGAGUAUACAGAAAAGUUUGUGUAAUUUGGUGUGCUUGACAACUCUUCUUUAAUUAGAAGUUGAGAGACAGUCAGCAUGGCCCUGCCAGGGGAGUAUCUCAAGAGUGCUCCAUAUCAUUAUGGUGAAAAGAUAAUGUACUACCUUUGCAAACCUUAGAAUUUACCUGCUGAAAGAGUACCUUGCCUGAUCUUGCCAAGCUGCCUUUGCAAAUUCAGUGUUGGCUUGAGGUAAGAUCAUGUCAGCAGAUCCCACGUCCACCCCACCCCCACCGAUUUAUUUUGCUUACAAGUCGUCUCUUAAAUAGGUAGUUUACUUCAGUAUGAAAGGAUUAACUGUGUCAGUACUGGUUAAAAUGGGGGGGGGAAUGUUGUGAAAUGGAGAGGAAUGAGACAUAUAAUUUCAGAUAUCUUUUGCUACUUAACAAUAAUGUAAAGUUGGGAAUUUUUCUUAACCUUUAUGAAUUUCAAUUUCUUUAUCUAUACAGAGGUAGAAUUCAACCUAUCCCAUGGAGUGGAAUAAUUAAUGCCAAGUAUCUACUACCAAGCCUGACACAGCUCUACAGAUGGUGGCUAUCAUUACUGCCUGUAAAAGUAAAGUAGGUGAUUUGGACAGCAGCCCUGAAAGACAGAAAUCUGAGUCUGUUAGGGCAGAAAGAUGCCAGGUGUGGGUGAAGGAGGAGGAAGCCAGGUCAACUUGCACUUGUAAAUUGUGCCAUGCUCUGGCUAGGCUGGACCCCGUGAAAGCUCUAACUCCUGUGUAUUAAAUGGAGGUUGGAGACACUCUGAUCUCUUUCUUGGUUCAAUGAAGCUUCACUUAGCUAAGUUGAGCUUCAUGGACCAAUAAUGGUUAAUGAAAGUAUUUUCUUUUAAAAGUUUUUAACUUUACUUCAGAUCUCUAGAGCUGGAGCAGUAAAAAGAGUUAACAAAUGAAGCUUGCUAAAUACAAACAAUUUUUCUGUAGUCCAUACAAAUGUACUUAGGAGAGGAUGUGAUGGAAAGAGAGCAAAUGUACUCUGCUGGUAAGAAAUUGUAGUUCUUCCCAAAUGCACUAUAAAUGAUCAUAUAAUGAUGCAUCAAUCAAGGCCCCAGUGAGGAAAACACAUUAU